UGUUGCUUAUUGAUUGAGCUCAGAGUUGAUCGUAAGGUUCGUUUAACCCUUGUUCCUACAUCUUUAGGGUGCUAGGAGACUAGUAGAUACCUUCGUUGGAGCAAACGAAGGAGCGCAAGAGUUGUGGUGGGUUUGGCUUCAUGAAAACGGGGCGAAAUGGCCCCCAUGCUUUCUAUACUCGUCGUAACGUCAUUUUAAAUGCAAAUCUAUGCUAAAUAGAAUUUAUGUGAAUUUUAGAACACUUAAAAUGCAUGUGUUAUGUCACGCCCCGGGACCGAUACCAAUUUGAGCCGGCCCGAGCACGUCAAACAGACGCCGAACGGACAGAGUUUCCCCUGUCCGCCCAAGGCUCAUCACAUGUACAAUUUCAAACAAGAAGUGCACUAGCGGAAACAUACACAAACGGCUUACACGAGGGUAAGCAACAGCCAUGAGUGAGAGAAAGGAACUAAACAUCUACACAAGUACCAUGAUUCUCUUUUGAUCACAUACAUUGCAUUUAACCUCAUAUUCAUAAUUCUUUACAUCACUUGCAUCAUUUCUUUUUACAUCACAUUCUCUCAAAAUAAACAUUACAUUCUUUUUCUUUUACAUCUCAAUUUAUCAAAUACAAAAAAUGAAGUAAGGGAAUGCUACUUCAAAAUGUAAAACUCUGGUGGCCUCUGACUAAGGUGCGAUACCUUUACCACGGUCGCUCGCCGGCUCGCUCGGUCCCGGCUCUGUGGAAAUAGUGGGGUGAGAACUACAACGAAGUUCCCAGUGGGUUCGGCCCCAACAUCACCGACUUUCCCACUAGGACUAACUCAGGCAUAAUAGAAAGGAUAAGCAGAAUAGUAACCAAACUAUAAUCAUGAUGCUAAUAUGCCUGAACAAUAGCAAGGAAUAUGCUCAAUAUAAAUCAUGCAAGUAUGCAAGUUCUUUAUUCUUUUACUCUUUGUUCUUUGUUCUUUAAUCUCACGGCUAACCCGGGGGUUUCGCCACAUUAACUUGCCCACAUUAACUCCAUCAUCGCGGGCCCUCAACUUCCUCCCGCUAAGACCGUCCUCGGGUUUACUCCAACCCGUGAUGCAAAACUCCGGAGCGCAUCGCCCGAGGGGGAGCGACCGCCCUCUAGCACGGAACUCAUAGCAAGUAUGAUCAAUCCUUAACUCUAAGGAUAUAUAGUUCAAUCAUUGUCUUUACACUAACUCUAGUGUUCUUUACAUCACUUUAUUUUGCUAACUUUAGCAAUCAUCGUUCUUUAACUUUACUC
This 1252-nucleotide long non-coding RNA is filed under the name Ananas comosus (pineapple). Its description in RNAcentral is "long non-coding RNA (ACOM_LNC008992)". Lineage: Eukaryota; Viridiplantae; Streptophyta; Magnoliopsida; Poales; Bromeliaceae. The record is from RNAcentral.